This 253-nucleotide ribosomal RNA is filed under the name uncultured bacterium. Its description in RNAcentral is "partial 16S ribosomal RNA". It matches the Rfam family "Bacterial small subunit ribosomal RNA", at positions 524 to 776 of the family's 1533-position model. The record is from RNAcentral.
AACGGGGGGGGCAAGUGUCCUUCGGAAUGACUAGGCGUAAAGCGUGCGUAGGUGGUUCGUUAAGUCUGAUGUGAAAGCCCUGGGCUCAACCUGGGAAUGGCAUUGGAUACUGGCGACCUAGAGUGCGGUAGAGGGGUGUGGAAUUCCCGGUGUAGCAGUGAAAUGCGUAGAUAUCGGGAGGAACAUCUGUGGCGAAGGCGACACCCUGGACCAGCACUGACACUGAGGCACGAAAGCGUGGGGAGCAAACAGG